RNAcentral lists this transfer RNA (87 nucleotides) under Candidatus Zambryskibacteria bacterium CG10_big_fil_rev_8_21_14_0_10_42_12. Its description in RNAcentral is "tRNA-Ser". It matches the Rfam family "tRNA". Rfam says of the family: Transfer RNA (tRNA) molecules are approximately 80 nucleotides in length. Their secondary structure includes four short double-helical elements and three loops (D, anti-codon, and T loops). Further hydrogen bonds mediate the characteristic L-shaped molecular structure. tRNAs have two regions of fundamental functional importance: the anti-codon, which is responsible for specific mRNA codon recognition, and the 3' end, to which the tRNAs corresponding amino acid is attached (by aminoacyl-tRNA synthetases). tRNAs cope with the degeneracy of the genetic code in two manners: having more than one tRNA (with a specific anti-codon) for a particular amino acid; and 'wobble' base-pairing, i.e. permitting non-standard base-pairing at the 3rd anti-codon position. The record is from RNAcentral. Lineage: Bacteria; Candidatus Zambryskiibacteriota.
GGAGAGGUGGCAGAGUGGUUGAACGCACCGGUCUUGAAAACCGGAGUAUCCGAAAGGGUACCGAGGGUUCGAAUCCCUCCCUCUCCG